UUAACUCAAAUUUGUAUGGAGUUGGAACGUUUGCUUACGUUUGCCGCCAGAGGCGCUGUUCCAACUCCAUACAUAUUUUAGUUA
RNAcentral lists this microRNA precursor (84 nucleotides) under Bombyx mori (domestic silkworm). RNAcentral describes it as "mir-2807 microRNA precursor family". It matches the Rfam family "mir-2807 microRNA precursor family". The record is from Rfam by way of RNAcentral. Lineage: Eukaryota; Metazoa; Arthropoda; Insecta; Lepidoptera; Bombycidae.